Molecule: transfer RNA, 39 nt
Filed under: Mammuthus exilis (Channel Islands mammoth)
Lineage: Eukaryota; Metazoa; Chordata; Mammalia; Proboscidea; Elephantidae
Description: partial tRNA-Val
Source: RNAcentral
CAAAGUGUAGCUUAACAAAAAGCAUCUGGCUUACACCUA